CCCCAAGCAGCCUCUUGCCAUCAUCUGACUGAAUAUUUUUCCACUCCGAGCUCUGGGUACUGUUGGAAUAUGAAAUAGAUUAUUCAUUACUCUCCUCUUUGCCACUGAUUUGGUUUCAUGUAGCGUCUUCCACAGAGAAAGAUGAAAACUUGUCAAAAAUAGGUUAUAUCUUAUUCGAAGGGGCAACAAUAGCAGCAGGUACAGGCACACUUUAAUAUUUAAUUAAGGUUGAUGUUAACCCCUUUAAAUGACUUUAGCUGUAAGUUGUAUUCAAAUGCAGAAGAGAAAAAUAAUUGUUCUUAAUUUGCAACCUGUUCAGCAGGCGUUCUUCAUGGAGUGAGCUGGAAAUUUAGGGCAGAAUUUUUAAAUAAUGAAAUUUCCCAUCGUAAAUAUUAAUAGCAGUUUGUCUACGUAGUGGAGAAUUAACUAGGAGUGAUGAUUUCCUCAUCCCUUUGGUUUGAACUGCUAGCCUAGUGAGGCACUCCAUGCUUGGGAGUGGAGGUGGCUUUCCUGGGAGAAACGUGUGUGUGGAGGGGAAGUUCAGAGCCAAGUUCUGUUGGUUGGUUGUGGUCAGCGCUGGUUUCAGAGGAACCACCGUGAGUCCCUGGUCUCCAAGCCACUUGCCUUCCCCUUUGGCUGGGUGUGUUGUUGCAGGGAUGUGGGCAGGCGGGAGAGCCAGUAGAGACAUCUUAAAGGAAGAUGUGUGUCUGGUUGGCUGGUUUGGGGAGGGUCUGAUUGGGGGUAUGUCUUGGGCAUCUCCGUGCCGUCAACUGGAGCUCAUUACAAACAGCGCUUCCCUAAUAUGCAACAGGGAGACACUUUGCUGAGAUGGGCCUUCUGUCCUUUUUCCUUUCUGUGACUUGCUAUUGGUGAAUGGCUCUUCUUUUCCAUGGACCAUGAGCUUGAAGGGCCAGGGAGGACAAAGCCCCAUCGUCCUCAUCCUAAAUCGGAAGUCAGUGGCCUUCUCCAUGCUAUGGCUGCUGUCUAUGUCUGCUCAGCCUGUUUGUUUGAUGAGUUUAUAUAACCAUGGAAGCCACCCUCAGAGGCCCGGUUCAUUGACACUUCAGGGCAGGGGUGUUGGGUCAAUAUCAGGGAAUGGGAAGUUCCUUUCUCCCAUCCCCAGAGGGACCAGGCCCCUUAUGUAGCUCCACCAUGGGUGUGAGGGGAAGAGAUGGUGCACGUUCCUUGCUCAGUGUAGCAUCUCUCAGCAUCACCCAUCCAAGGACAGAUGGUCCUGCAGGAGCCACGGCGUGGGAGGUACCUGCCUGGCAGGCACGAGCCAGGUGGGACCUGGCCUCAAGCCUCUUUGGUUACUAUGGGCGUAGGAACAGCAGACAUGCCAGGCUUUGGAGGAUCUCAAGCCUCCAUUUCAAUCCAGGAUAAAUUAGCCACAUGACAAUCUGUCCCCCUUGGGAUGGCCUUCACACCUCAACAGAAAAGGUACCAAGAGCCAUUUUUCCAAAAGGAAGAAAGGAAGGAAGAAAGGAAGGAAGGCUGGCUCUGUGAAGAGCCAUCCUCAGUCCAACUCCCAGUGACCCUGGUUGAGGGUCUGCCUGAGACUAGCUCAAACUCAACCUCACCCUAUGCAGUAACUCUCUAACUCUAAACUAGCCCCCAAGAGAUAUUCUGGUGGCUUCACUUUGCCUGUGACCCAUCAGACUCAGACCAGUGGCACCUGCCAGAGGCUGGCCACAUAAUGUCAGCAGUCAGGUGGCUCUCAGCCCAGAUGCCAGUCUUUGUUAAACAGGGCAGGUGACUGCGUGGACAGCUCAGAAAAGCUCCUGAAGCCACAAAUAUUGCACCCAAGAUGGAUGAGAGCAGCCAGGCCCAGGCAGCAAGAGUCUGUCACUGGAGCCAGGACUUCCUGAAAUGAGUGACUGAGCCAGGGUUAGUGUCCUGUUGUGGAGGAGGGCAGAUGCGGGGAGUGCAGAGUGAGUUCCCAUCUCUAUUGGGAUUCCAGCGCAGUAACAAGGAGCCAGCUUACCAGAGGCGAGCAGGGCAAAAGCAAGAUGGCAGGAUGGGGCACGAUAUGUUGGGGGUUGGGUAGCAGAGGGUGGACAGGUGAGGGAUGGAGGGUUUUUCUAGCACCAGGGGAUAGCAAGGGCAAGUAGGCCCCCUUGAGCUCAUCACUGCCCUUCUUCAGGAGGAGCUAAAGAGGGGGAAAGACAGGGUGCAUCUCUCCAGGGCCCCCUGCCCCAGUCAAACACCCCUGUGGCCAUAGCUCCUGGGCUCCCAGUGUGCCAUGGGGAAAGCACUUCCUCAUCCGGAAUCGCUCGUUACUCGUGCUACAUGAAGAACUCAGACAUCACAGAGGGGGCAGUCGCCAGGAAGCAGAGCUCUGGACUGUGAUUCCAUGAACUCGCGCACCCCCUCCUUCCCUUCAUCCAAACAAGGCCCUUUGGCGUGAAUAAUAGCUCAGCGGCUCCGAAGCCGUAUUGAUCGGCUGCAAACCCGGCUCCGCCGAGAGCUGCCAGGGCUUUUCCUGGGGGCAGGACCAGCACCGCUCAGCACAGCCUCCUCUCCCCCUCCCACUUCCCCGGCCUCCCCCAGGUGUGUUCAGGAGGGGACAAUACCUGGGGGAGCCCAGGCCCUCUCCAGCUCAGUGCCACUUCGUUACCGCAACUUUGCUGUUUUUCACUUAUUUUGCCAGGGUAAGCACCUAAGUUAGAGAGAAAUGUUUUUUCGUGACGAGGCCCCACAGAGUUGAGAAUGAACACAUCCUCCCGCUCCAGUUUCUCCCCAGAAUGUUCUGCCAAGGACCCAGGCCAUAGAGGCAUCCUGGGCUGACACCUGUGGGGGCCCUAUUAUACCCCCAGCGCUGACAAGCACUUCGGCAUCCUGUACCACAUUUUCGCGUUACUCUCCCCUGUCUCAUCCCAUCAGAAAAGAGGAGCCAAGAACAUGGCUAGGACUCACCACCUCCUUGAGGGAUGGGGACUGUUGCAAAAUUCAACAGACGUGCAUCAGCCGCAGGCUGGGAGACCAGCAGAGACCAAAGCCUGCCAGCCCCACUCCCUGAGCCUCUGACCAGACUGUCCCUCCCCGUGUUUGCACCUCUUCUGGACACAGGAAGUGGUCAAGGCCUUGACCCUUUGAGGGAUGCCAGGCCCCUGCGCAGUGACACCCUCGCGGUGGUGGAUGCCUGAAACCCCACCCCUAGAGAGGCCGUCCUGUGGUUUCUGCCCUGGAACACUGGAAAAAUGCAGAUUCAUUUUUCCCUAGACAGCUUCAGUCCUACCAGCCACAGAUCCCUCUAAGUGAGUUGUCUGACCCUUUCCUGGGGGCAGAUUUUGGGUUUGGGGGAAGACAGACCCACUACAUGAGGGAGCCUGAGUGGUCUUUGGGAGAAAGGUUAGAAGGAAAGAGGGGCUUGGUUCCCUAGGACCAGCUCCCUGGAGGUUGCCCCGUAUCAGCUGCCUUCAGCCUUGCCUUAAAACCCACUCCCUGGCCAGGACCCCGUUCUUCUAAGGAUUGCGUUCUGGCUUAGGGCUGCAUGCAGGCAAACAUGGGAGCCUGAGAAUGGGCUCUGCAAAGGAGCAGUAAUGGGUUGAGGGUCUCCUGACAGGUCCCACAGCCAUGCCCUGGCUGAGAAGGAUCGAGAAAGAGCAGGGAGGCUGGGUUGGAGUUUGGACAGCUAACCCUGGGGGCAGGAAAAUUGUGUCCCUCCUCUGGCCCUCCUGAGGCUGAAGGAAGUCCAAAUCCGCUGUGGUGUACAAUUUGGCAUUUGGGGAAGGACCCAAAAGGGAUUCUUUUCUGCCCUGAGCAGACCUUCCCCACACUGCCACAUCCAGGGGUCUUGGCACAGAGGGGACACUGUGGCCGUCAGAGACUCUCCGCUCAAUUUCCAUCUUCUCUCAUUCAUCCACACCCACCCUUCCAGAGCUCUACACUGCAUUUCUAAAGAAAGGGAGAAACUCGAGUGAGAACUAGAGGGCUUCACUGAGCUCAUUAUUAUCCCCGACAAGACUUCUAAAUAAUCUAGCCUUUCCCUGUUUGAAGCAUGAGAGGUGUAAGCAGAUUUAUUCAUUCAUUCAUUCAAUCAAUAUUUAUUGAGCAUCUACUAUGUUCCAGGCCCCGAAGACACAUGGUGAAGAAGAUAGAUAAGAAAAGAAAGAAGGUAGUCUCACAGCACUGGAAGUCAGAAAACUAUUUUCCUUUCCAGAAUCCUGACUCACUCCAAUCCCGGGCAAGGUCAUUCUCAGGGUCUCAAAAUCACAUUGCGAUGCCUGUGCCUCUGCCACCUUCUACACUGCCCCCUGAGAUGAAUGCACCAUCACUGUGAAUUACUAGGCAAAAUCUUCUCCAAGUGGACAAUGCUGUAUGUUCAUUCCUCCUUGCAAUCCCCAUGACUGCAUUAGCAAAGGAGCCCCGCUGAGGCUGAGUAGGGCUGACACUUGCCUGCAGGUGGGCAGGUCCCCAUCAGCACUGGCCCUACUUCCAGGACUGGCCUAGGAGAGGCCAGGGAUAGGAAUGGGGACUGUUUAGAUCGGGGCCGACUUGGAGGAUUUUUUCCUCCUGCUUAUUAAAUGUUAAAGGUUUGACUUGGCAGGCAAUCAGGAGCCCAAAAUAUCAUAAAAGGGAAAAAAGUUGCCGAGUGGCUAAGAGGUGCACCACGGGAGUGUCACUGGGCCCGCCGGCGAGGUGAAUUGCUAAGCAGAGAGCAGUGAACGGGGAGGAAAUGGAGCAGCAGACAUUUUCAAAGGCUUCUCUCCCCUUCUUCUCCUCUCUCUGUCCCCCAUGCGGAAAGGGGAAAAUAGAAGUAGAAUCCAGAUUGGGGCGCGUGGCUGAUUUGGUCCUCCUCCCGCACCAUCCUCCCCCAGACAGCAGAGAAACUUUGAUGUCUGGGUGCAUGGCAUUCAGGGACAGAGGAGCCUGGGCAUCCCAGCAAAUGCAGCCGCAUGUUCCGCCUCUGGACGGCCUCUCUGAACUCCUUUGUGAGGGGAGAUGAAGCCCACAGAGCUGGAAAGAGCAGCGUUUUGAAAUGAGGAAGUGUGGAUCGGCAUUCCUUGAGCUCAGUGCUAGCCACCUUGGCGAUGGGGUGAGCCAACCAGGAGCUCAGAUUUAUAAAACUUUUGAGCUUUGUGGGCCCUAGGGGGCCACUGUGGCCUACCUGCUGAUUUUCAGAUGGGGAAAUGGGGGCUCAGAGAGGGGACAAGAUUUGCUUAAUGGCACCUAGCAAAUUGGUAACAGGUCCAGGAGUAGAUUCCAUGCCUUCAGCCUCUGGUGAGACGUCUUUCCUCUGCACCAGGAAGUGGAACUUCAAACAGCACCAGGGGUUGGAACUUUUGUUUCAAAUCCUCUCUGCCUCAUCCCCACCCACUGCCCAGCAACUCAAGGCUGGGUCUUUCGCCCCCUCAGGCUCAGAAGGGCUGUGGCCCAGCCACAGAGCCAGGGGGCCUCCUCAGUAGUAUUGGCCUUCACACUCUUGGUGCUAAAGUUCUCCAGUUACUUUUUUAUUAAACCAACAUGUACAGAAAAACUCAGUUUUCGGCUGGGCACAGUGGCUCACACCUGUAAUCCCAGCACUUUGGGAGGCCGAGGCAGGCAGAUCACUUGAGGUCAGGAGUUCGAGACCAGCCUGGCCAACAUGGUGAAACCCUGUCUCUACAAAAAUACAAAAAUUAGCUGGGCGUGGAGGCGCGUGCCUGUAGUCCCUGCUAGUCAAGAGGGUGAGGCAGGAGAAUCGCUUGAACCUGGGAAGCCGAAGUAGCAGUGAGCCGAGAUCGCGCCACUGCACUCCAGCCUGGGUGAUAGAGCUGGAGGGAAACCCUGAUACCACUUCUGGGUCCAGAUGGCUGUGGCUGGAAUGCGGCCACAGCCAGGAACAGCGUGGUACGGAUACCAGUGGGGCUCUGGUCUUUUCCCAGAGGCUGGCACCUUUCAUGCCGAGUUGGGCCUCGGGUCUCGGGGCUCUAGGCCCUGCUGUGCCAGUGGCCUGAUGUGUGGCCUUAUAUGCCAGUCACACCCUGCUCCAGACCUCGGUUUCCUCAUCCACAAAAUGGGAAAGCUGGGCUAGAAAAUCUCUCAGGAAGGUAGGUCUCUGCUAGCUCCCAGCCUUCCAUGGCAGUGCAAAGGGAACCUUCCCAACAAAGUAAGAGCCAAAGGCUAAGAUGGCAGUCUGUGGUUUGUAGAACCUUCUAGAAGACCACGAGACUUGGUAAGCUGAGCUUCUAAGUGGUCCAGGAUGCAGGGCUGGUGUCACAGGUGUGUGACCAGUAGAGCUACACAGGGCUUUGUGCCCAGAAGGGCCCCACGCUUGGGAAAUAAGGCUCUGCAGUCACUGUCUUCAAAUUCUUAAUAAUUUUAUCUUUGUCACUGUGUUUUGUAAGUGAAGUCCAAUGGGACAGUGGAAUGUGAACUGGGAGCAUGGAGCCUCCCAUCUCCCUGCGUCCAGGAUCUGCUUCUCAGCUGCUUGCUCCUCUGCCCCCACAGCUCCAGCUCCAGCUCCACUCACCUUCUACCUCCCUGCCUCCCACCCAGCAACCACUGCCAACCUGCCCCCAACCUGGGCACAGGCACACCCUGUGGGGGAGGGGGACAAGCACACCCCACAGCAUCUCAGAGUGGGGCAUGGUGGCAGCAGUCCCCAUCCUGCACUGGCAGCCCAGGGCACAUUUCAUGUGGGACUCUGCGGGGGUGAGCCUCUAGCCCCCCCCAGAUCCAGUACCUCGUGUGUCCUGGUACAAAAUUUGUAGUGCCCCGGGGGCUGCCCAUCUGCUAUGGGUUGGGGCAGGGGCCUGUGGGAGGAUGCCUGGCUCAACCUCCUGCCCUAGGCCUGGAGCACAACAUGUGGGCCCAGCAGCUCACAGGAAAGGGAGCCAGAAGAUGGGUUCAAGUGUUUGUGUGUUCCCCAAGUCACCAGGGUGCCUGUGGGGGUCUGCACUCCCCCAGGAGAACCCUCAUGUCUAGGGAGCACUCCAUGGGGUCAUCUCCAUGCCUGAGAGGACCCUCUCUUCCUUCUUUCAACCUUCCGGAGCCCAGCUUGUCUCUUCCGGCCAGGUCAAGGUAUCCUCCUGAGAGAACCGUGAAAUACAGUGUGCCGCUUUGAUAAUUCCACAUGCAUGUUCAAUAUUCGGAUAUUUCCAGUUAAAACUGGCAUUGCACAAUAUAAAAAGGAAUGGUAAAAGUCAUGCUAAUAAUUUAAAAUUUUGACUUUACUUAGAAUGGUAUUAACUAGCAAAUUUAAAACACCAUGACAAAUUGAAAGUGAGACUGGGGAAGAAAGCAAAAAGCAUGUUUUCUGACUGUUUGAACAAGGGGCCCCACAUUUUCGUUUUGUAGUGGGUCCUGAAAAUUAUGUAGCCAGUCCUGCCUGGUGAGCCACCUACCCUCUUGGGCAUUUAGUUGUCUAUCAGUAAACUAGAUCAUUAACACUGCGCCUGCCCCUCCUGCUCACGGGCACGUUAGGAACAUGCGCUUGGAUAAAAUCCAAGCCAGAGAUUUAGAAACCAGUGUGUGGUGCCAGCUCUCAGCCUUGGAACCACAAGCCCAUUUUUCUUAAAAAGGGAUCUGGACUGGCAUCCAAAGAGAUUUCAGUCCCCUCAUAUAGGUUUAACCACCAUGGGCAAGGCAGUCUCUCUCCCAGGUAUUCCUCUCACUAGGUGCUCUGCUCUAGAAAUGAAGUCUAAAAGCAGCCCCAUCAAUACAGAACAGAGUUAGAACCACCCGGAGAGAUUUAAUCUGGAAUCCCAGCAAGUUGUGAAAUGGAAAGACUAGUCGGCCAGAGAGCUGAGGUCUCACAGUGUGCAAAGACCAGUCCUCAGUAUCUGCACCCAUCCAUUUGAGUUUCAGGUGAAGCCUAGGAUUUGGGAGCUCAAUACAAAGAUGCCAGCAUGAAGGAGGGUGGGUGCCAACUAGGUUUGGAUUUAGAGACAUCCUCCUUUUGGGAAAGGAAAAUAUCCUGAUUCCACUUAGGUUUCCAGGAAGAAGGCAUCCCCAUUUCAGAACAGUUUUCUAAGCCACCCUCAUGGAGGUUUCACCUGCAGCUUUCAGUCUGCUUUGUCUGAUGUUUGAGGAUGCAACUGCCCAAAAAUGGGUCUAAAGUAGCAUCCCGUCACGUUCUGUAAAAAGUAAUACUGCUUUAAGGUAACACUUAUGGAAUGAAUGAAUGCAUGAAUGAAUGAGUCAGUUUGGAUGAAGUUGCCUCAAAUAGAGUCUAAAUAUAAGAUUUCAUACUCGAUAGUGUCAUUUCAGGAUCAGGAAAAAUUAGGUGACUCCCAUUUGGUUUCUACAGCUUUUCCCCAAUAUCAUGUUAAAGUUUUGGCUUUUAUCUUAUUUCACUUAUUUCAUUUUGAGUCAUGUCUUCUGGCUCCAGCUCAGCUUCCUAGAGAUAAUUCAUUAGGCCCGAGAGCUGCUCCAGAGUGGGAUUAGAACCCGUGUAGUACAUAGUCACAUUAAACUGAGAUCGGCUAAUUAAUCGCUCUUCUCCGUGUAACUGAGCGAUCGCGCUCCUUCCCCGAGGAAUUGCAAUUUCAUGGUUCCUAAUGAUGGUGCGAUUACAUUAUGUGGAUCACUUAGGCUGUGGGUGUCAGGAGCGGUACUUGGAGCCUCUCUCGGUGGGGAUGGGAGAAGUCACUUCUAAAACCGGGGAGAUGGAGGAAAGCAGUUAGAAUGUCUGUUACUAAUUUUUGUUAACGUGCUGCUGUUUCCUACAUCUCAUUCAGGCAUUAGUUUCAAGUUCCAUUUUCCCCCAGCACCGUGUGGCACCUUCCCCAGAACCCUCACAUUUUUUUUCUAAUAUUCACAGGGUUAUUGUUUGUAAAAAAUCUAUUUAUUUGCUUUAUUCCAUUUUCC
RNAcentral lists this long non-coding RNA (8793 nucleotides) under Homo sapiens (human). RNAcentral describes it as "non-protein coding lnc-VTI1A-1:1". The record is from RNAcentral. Lineage: Eukaryota; Metazoa; Chordata; Mammalia; Primates; Hominidae.